Molecule: long non-coding RNA, 218 nt
Filed under: Lathyrus oleraceus (garden pea)
Lineage: Eukaryota; Viridiplantae; Streptophyta; Magnoliopsida; Fabales; Fabaceae
Description: Pisum sativum (pea) long non-coding RNA (PSAT_LNC031395)
Source: RNAcentral
UUUUUGCAAUCAAAGCAGUAAUGAAAACAAAAACAACAUUAUUUGACUGACUAUGCAUUUUAUUGACUGAAAAAAAAAAAGGUGGCUCAUGACUGAGCAAAACACCGGAAGCAAUCCCUGAAAAGAGGUAAUUGCGUAUAAAAGGAAAAAUCUAUCCUAAUGGCAAUGUGAAACCGUGAUCUCAUCGAGUUCCAACUCGGUUACACCCCAUAUAUCUU